RNAcentral lists this RNase P RNA (351 nucleotides) under Candidatus Gallacutalibacter pullistercoris. RNAcentral's name for it is "RNase P RNA component class A". It matches the Rfam family "Bacterial RNase P class A". From Rfam's summary of the family: Ribonuclease P (RNase P) is a ubiquitous endoribonuclease, found in archaea, bacteria and eukarya as well as chloroplasts and mitochondria. Its best characterised activity is the generation of mature 5'-ends of tRNAs by cleaving the 5'-leader elements of precursor-tRNAs. Cellular RNase Ps are ribonucleoproteins. Lineage: Bacteria; Bacillati; Bacillota; Clostridia; Eubacteriales. The record is from RNAcentral.
CGAGCAGGCUGAACAGCUGCGGGCGCCAGGCGAAAGCAGGCGUCUGAGGAAAGUCCGAGCUCCACAGGGCAGGGAUAACGGCUAACGGCCGCCGGGGGUGACCCCAGGGAAAGUGCAACAGAGAUAUACCGCAUACCUUUUGGUGUGUAAGGGUGGAAAGGCGAGGUAAGAGCUCACCAGCGUGCGGGGAACCGCACGGCUCUGCAAACCCUAUCCGGAGCAACACCGCAGAGGGACAGUAUGCGCCGGCCCGGCGCGUCCCGUGGAGGUGGCAACGAGCCGCGGCGGUAACGCCCGGCCAAGAUAGAUGGCUGUUCACGACAGAACUCGGCUUACAGGCCUGGUCGCAUC